RNAcentral lists this non-coding RNA (27 nucleotides) under Rattus norvegicus (Norway rat). The record is from RNAcentral. Lineage: Eukaryota; Metazoa; Chordata; Mammalia; Rodentia; Muridae.
GAGCAGAGAGAUUUUAAAAAGCUUAGC